GAUGUUAGCGGCGGACGGGUGAGUAACACGUGGGUAACCUGCCUGUAAGACUGGGAUAACUCCGGGAAACCGGAGCUAAUACCGGAUGGUUCCUUGAACCGCAUGGUUCAAGGAUGAAAGAUGGUUUCGGCUGUCACUUACAGAUGGACCCGCGGCGCAUUAGCUAGUUGGUGAGGUAACGGCUCACCAAGGCGACGAUGCGUAGCCGACCUGAGAGGGUGAUCGGCCACACUGGGACUGAGACACGGCCCAGACUCCUACGGGAGGCAGUGACAGGGAAUCUUCCGCAAUGGACGAAAGUCUGACGGAGCAACGCCGCGUGAGUGAUGAAGGUUUCCGGAUCGUAAAGCUCUGUUGUUAGGGAAGAACAAGUGCAAGAGUAACUGCUUGCACCUUGACGGUACCUAACCAGAAAGCCACGGCUAACUACGUGCCAGCAGCCGCGGUAAUACGUAGGUGGCAAGCGUUGUCCGGAAUUAUUGGGCGUAAAGGGCUCGCAGGCGGUUUCUUAAGUCUGAUGUGAAAGCCCCCGGCUCAACCGGGGAGGGUCAUUGGAUACUGGGAAACUUGAGUGCAGAAGAGGAGAGUGGAAUUCCACGUGUAGCGGUGGAAUGCGUAGAGAUGUGGAGGAACACCAGUGGCGAAGGCUCAGCUCUGGUCUGUAACUGACGCUGAGGAGCGAAAG
RNAcentral lists this ribosomal RNA (685 nucleotides) under Bacillus altitudinis. RNAcentral describes it as "bacterial SSU rRNA". It matches the Rfam family "Bacterial small subunit ribosomal RNA", at positions 88 to 759 of the family's 1533-position model. Lineage: Bacteria; Bacillati; Bacillota; Bacilli; Caryophanales; Bacillaceae. The record is from RNAcentral.